CCUACGGGUGGCAGCAGUGGGGAAUAUUGGGCAAUGGGCGCAAGCCUGACCCAGCAACGCCGCGUGAAGGAAGAAGGCUUUCGGGUUGUAAACUUCUUUUCUCAGGGACGAAGCAAGUGACGGUACCUGAGGAAUAAGCCACGGCUAACUACGUGCCAGCAGCCGCGGUAAUACGUAGGUGGCAAGCGUUAUCCGGAUUUACGGGGUGUAAAGGGCGUGUAGGCGGGACGGCAAGUCAGAUGUGAAAACCACGGGCUCAACCUGGGGCCUGCCUUUGAAACUGUAGGUCUUGAGUGCUGGAGAGGCAGACGGAAUGCCUGGUGUAGCGGUGAAAUGCGUAGAUAUUAGGAGGAACACCAGUGGCGAAGGCGGUCUGCUGGCCAGCAACUGACGCUGAGGCGCGAAAGCGUGGGGAGCAAACAGGAUUAGAUACCCCAGUAGUC
RNAcentral lists this ribosomal RNA (443 nucleotides) under uncultured bacterium. RNAcentral's name for it is "partial 16S ribosomal RNA". It matches the Rfam family "Bacterial small subunit ribosomal RNA", at positions 338 to 795 of the family's 1533-position model. The record is from RNAcentral.